Molecule: long non-coding RNA, 812 nt
Organism: Anopheles nili
Lineage: Eukaryota; Metazoa; Arthropoda; Insecta; Diptera; Culicidae
Exons: 2
Source: RefSeq, a predicted model, not a curated record
GGGUGUGGGGUGGAGAGGGAGGGGGGGGGGUGGAUGUAAAAUCACGCGGUAGAUGGAAUAGCGAAGCAAAGCAAACAAGGAUAACGAUACUUCCGGGUGGCAACAAAGAAUCCUAAACUCGGAGCCGGCAAAAAUUAAGAGCACGGAGCAUUUGCAAGCGGAGGACCCACGUGUGCGGAAGGAUUUCAGUUGAAGCGAGGGCUCUUGGAAGGAAAAUGCAUGCUGCUGAGGAAGAAGCGAAAGGAGGAAAUAAAGCGAAACGUAAGCAAAUUACACCGAGGAAAGGAUACGGUUACGGAAACAAUCAUUGAGCAACCAAACAGCGCCUCUAAACCCGACCUAAGGCCCGUAGAAAAUGGUGUAGGAAAAUAGCGAAAGGAUAUGCAAGCUGCAUUCCUGAAUGCGCGUGUAUGUGCGCGGGGGUGUAUGUGAGAAUACUGUACGUGGGCAACACAACAGACCCCAAUCAACUAGCCACAACACACACACACGCGCACGCAGGAAGGAUUUCGAAUGUUGCGUCCUCGAAAGAGGGGGGUUUGCGUUUUGAUUGGUGCGGUAGUAUUGGUUGCCCUCCAUUGCAAACCACAAAUGGAGCGAAACAUACAAAACAAAAUCCCAGCAAAAAGGCAACAACCACAUCCAGCCGCCACCCUUCCGGAAACUUAACGAUAAUUAAAUAGAGCAUUAUUAUUGCAUUAAUCAAAGGGUUGAUACAGCGUACUCUGUUAGCGAAUGUAAUGGAUUAAAAGAACAAAAAAAAAACAAAGGAAAAACCAACAAAUAUUAAUGAGUCUAAAAGGCCUUCUAAA